Molecule: ribosomal RNA, 253 nt
Filed under: uncultured bacterium
Lineage: Bacteria
Description: partial 16S ribosomal RNA
Rfam family: Bacterial small subunit ribosomal RNA
Source: RNAcentral
UACGUAGGGUGCAAGCGUUAAUCGGAAUUACUGGGCGUAAAGCGUGCGCAGGCGGUUAUGUAAGACCGGUGUGAAAUCCCAGGGCUUAACCUUGGAACUGCAUUUGUGACUGCAUAGCUAGAGUACGGUAGAGGGGGAUGGAAUUCCGCGUGUAGCAGUGAAAUGCGUAGAUAUGCGGAGGAACACCGAUGGCGAAGGCAAUCCCCUGGACCUGUACUGACGCUCAUGCACGAAAGCGUGGGGAGCAAACAGG